AACGAACGCUGGCGGCAUGCCUAACACAUGCAAGCCGAACGAGACCUUCGGGUCUAGUGGCGCACGGAUGCGUAACGCGUGGGAACCUGCCCUUAGGUUCGGAAUAACUCCCCGAAAGGGGUGCUAAUACCGGAUAAUGUCUUCGGACCAAAGAUUUAUCGCCUUUGGAUGGGCCCGCGUUGGAUUAGCUAGUUGGUAGGGUAAAAGCCUACCAAGGCGACGAUCCAUAGCUGGUCUGAGAGGAUGAUCAGCCACACUGGGACUGAGACACGGCCCAGACUCCUACGGGAGGCAGCAGUGGGGAAUAUUGGACAAUGGGCGAAAGCCUGAUCCAGCAAUGCCGCGUGAGUGAUGAAGGCCUUAGGGUUGUAAAGCUCUUUUACCCGGGAUGAUAAUGACAGUACCGGGAGAAUAAGCGCCGGCUAACUCCGUG
This 433-nucleotide ribosomal RNA is filed under the name uncultured bacterium. RNAcentral describes it as "partial 16S ribosomal RNA". It matches the Rfam family "Bacterial small subunit ribosomal RNA", at positions 29 to 507 of the family's 1533-position model. The record is from RNAcentral.